UGCCAAGGACAUAGAAUAUAGAAACCCUACU
RNAcentral lists this non-coding RNA (31 nucleotides) under Mus musculus (house mouse). Lineage: Eukaryota; Metazoa; Chordata; Mammalia; Rodentia; Muridae. The record is from RNAcentral.